RNAcentral lists this ribosomal RNA (467 nucleotides) under uncultured bacterium. Its description in RNAcentral is "bacterial SSU rRNA". It matches the Rfam family "Bacterial small subunit ribosomal RNA", at positions 8 to 518 of the family's 1533-position model. The record is from RNAcentral.
AGGGUUCGAUUCUGGCUCAGAACGAACGCUGGCGGCAGGCCUAAGUCAUGCAAGUUGAACGGCUGUAGCAAUACAGCAGUAGCGGACGGGUGAGUAAUGUAUGGGAACGUAUCUUCUAGUGGGGAAUAUCUUUGGAAACGAAGAGCAAUACCGCAUGAGUCCUACGGGAGAAAGUCGCAAGACGCUAGAUGAGCGGCCCAUAUUGGAUUAGCUAGUUGGUUAGGUAAUGGCUGACCAAGGCAACGAUCCAUAGCUGGUCUAAGAGGACGAUCAGCCACAUUGGGACUGAGACACGGCCCAGACUCCUACGGGAGGCAGCAGUCAGGAAUAUUGGACAAUGGGGGCAACCCUGAUCCAAGCCAUGCCGCGUGAGUGUUAAGGUCUUCGGAUUGUAAAGCUCUUUUGUGUGGGAAAAUGAUGAUGGUACCACAAGAAUAAGCACCGGCUAACUUCGUGCCAGCCGCAGC